This is a non-coding RNA of Felis catus (domestic cat), 47 nucleotides long. The record is from Rfam. NCBI's taxonomy places the organism in Eukaryota, Metazoa, Chordata, Mammalia, Carnivora, Felidae.
AACAAGGCUUUCCUCAAAGCCAUUUUUUUCUACAAUAAAAAUGUCCU